Molecule: ribosomal RNA, 253 nt
Filed under: uncultured bacterium
Lineage: Bacteria
Description: partial 16S ribosomal RNA
Rfam family: Bacterial small subunit ribosomal RNA
Source: RNAcentral
UACGGAGGGUGCAAGCAUUAAUCGGAUUUACUGGGCGUAAAGGGCGCGUAGGCGGCAGAUCAAGUCAGAUGUGAAAUUCCAGAGCUCAACUUUGGAGCUGCAUCUGAAACUGGUCAGCUUGAGGGUAGACGGAGAAAAUGGAAUUCCACAUGUAGCGGUGAAAUGCGUAGAUAUGUGGAGGAACACCGGUGGCGAAAGCGGUUUUCUAGUUUAUACCUGACGCUGAGGCGCGAAAGCAAGGGGAGCAAACAGG